UUUUGCGAAAACUUACCUUUGAUGACUUUCGUCCUUUAAGAAUCGCCAUUUUGUACUGCUUUGUUCCUGCUUCAAACAAAGGAAAAUUGUGAGUUUUAGAAGUGGUGGUUAGUUUGUGGCCUUGAUGUCUUUGGCAGCUUGGCUUUGUUCCCAUUUGUUUCAGGAAGACCGACUGUAUUGGUAGUUGGCUACACUGCUGGUAGACUCUGUUAUUGCUUUCAAGAGACUUUUGCUCUCUGUACCAACCCUGAUUGUGUUUGUGGCUCAAUCAGCCUUAUCCCAACUAGAGAUCUUUGCUUAGGUGACCUUUUCUGAUAUCUUGAAUAACUUCUUGCUUUUAGAGCAAUUUGUUUGUCAGAGAGAAUCGCAACUGGGUAUGUGCCUUUUGCGUGAUGUGCACACUUCAUAGUCUCUGUCCAGUACUACAGGGAACCCGUAAUCAAUCUUGCAAUCUUUUCUUUGCUUGUUUUUGACAAGUAGGCAGACAUAAAUAUCUUUCGGGGAACCUUUGUAUAGCACGAAUCCUCAAGACUUGUCGACUGUAACAACUAUGUGUGCUUGUUACUUCUCUGAUAAUGUUAUCUUGAAUGUUCAAGCGAGAAUUUGCUUUGUGAAACUAAAAAGCUGGUAGCAGAUUUUGAAAUCCUUUCUUACUUGUUUUGACAAGGACUGACUCAAAGCAAAGGAUAUAAUGAUGGGAAGAAACAAUAUUUACAAGAGAUUCCUUCAUGAGGAAGGAAAGAAGGAAGAAUUUAUAUAUAUAUAUAUAUAUAUAUAUGGAAGAGGCUUUGUUUGUUUUUUUAAUUUUUUAUUUUUUGAAUGAGGUAACUAGCCUUAAUGAUCAUGACAUGCAUUUUGGACUCAACGGCCUGAUAUAUAUAUAUAUAUAUAUAUAUAUGGAAGAGACUUUUUUUUUUUUGAAUGAGGUAAGUAGCCUUAAUGAUCAUGACAUGCAUUUUGGACUCAACGGCCUGAUCUAUUAAACUGAUCUAAUCAUUCCUUCCGUUAUUCCUUCGGGCCUUGAAGUCGUGCUUGUUUGUAUUAAUUCUUUGCAUCAGUUUCACGACUUACUUUCGACUAGUGGUGCCCCGAGAUAUUUUCAUCGACAAGUCUCUCUCAUUUAUUUAUCUCUAUUUACAGUCGUCUUACAGUGCCUGUGAGGGUUUUUACUAGUAAGACUCUCUCAUUUAUUUAUCUCUACUUACCGUCGUUUUACAGUGCCUGUGAGGGUUUUCACUAAUAAGAAUCUCUCAUUUUUUUUUUCUUUUUUUUUCUUUUCUUGAUUCCUUGAGUGAGAACGAUGACCAUGUCCUCCAUAUGACAUCCAUUGCUCAUUGCGGAUUUCCAUUGGCAUUCUCAAAACAGAUCAGGAGGUCUUGUUUGGAAGGCUUUUGGAUAUAGUUAGAAAGAAAGGACUACAUGAAGGCUUAAAGUAGACUCAAUAUGAUGGGUUUUACAUUUACAACUCUUGGAAUCGAUUAUUUUAAAAAAAAAACUAAAACAAACUCAUGCCCCAGUUUUAGAUACUGGAUUUUUUGUUUAUUUUUAAUUUUUGGAGUUCUUAUUUAGUUGGACCGAACCGUGUAAGGCUGCCUACGUAUCCCUUUUUCUAAGGAGUCAGGUCAAACGUAAUUCAAACAUCUGACCUAACUAUUUUUUUUAUCUUUCUUUUUCCUUUUUUCUUUUUCUCUUUUUCUUCUUUUCUUUUUUUUUUUUCCUUUUUUUUUCAAAAUAAGUUUCCCCAACUUUUAUUUCCUUGGGGCAUGGAUCUUUGACUGUUCUUUUCUUAUUCUUUUUUUUCACUUGAACUUUUUAAGAGUUUCCCCAGUUUGUACUCUUGGGGCAUGAACUUUUCUUUUUAUUUUUUUUUAUUUCNUUUUN
RNAcentral lists this long non-coding RNA (1881 nucleotides) under Nicotiana tabacum (common tobacco). RNAcentral describes it as "long non-coding RNA (NTAB_LNC018075)". The record is from RNAcentral. Lineage: Eukaryota; Viridiplantae; Streptophyta; Magnoliopsida; Solanales; Solanaceae.